RNAcentral lists this long non-coding RNA (620 nucleotides) under Medicago truncatula (barrel medic). Its description in RNAcentral is "long non-coding RNA (MTRU_LNC008903)". The record is from RNAcentral. Lineage: Eukaryota; Viridiplantae; Streptophyta; Magnoliopsida; Fabales; Fabaceae.
GUUGGGGUUUGUUCAUGAUAAGAAAAAAUCAUGUGGCUCUACAGAAAACCAAAGAGCAUAAGACAACUUCAAAGCCAAAAGUGAUGAAUCAAAGUAAUAUUAUUGUUUUAAAGAUGAUUGUUUAAACCCUAAUGUUAUUGUUUUUGUGUUUAUGUUAGGCAUGGAAUUUGUGAGUAGAGGUGAAAGAGAUACCGGAAAAAGUGGAAGUAAAAGAGUUAAUGGUAGAGAUGAAGAUGAAUAUUUUUUUCCCUUCUGGGUUGUUAUGUAGAAGAUGAAGAUCAACAAGAAAAAAGAAGAGGAAGAAGAAGAAGAAAAGGAGAAAAAAUAAUUUAAUGUGGUUCAUCAUAAGAUAUAAUAGACUUGUAUGAUUUAACAGUCCCAUUUUUUAGAAAAAAAAUCAAGGGUUAAAAACUGACAUACAAUGUUGUCAGUUUAGAUAUCUAUGGUUAAAAACUGACGGAAGGGACCAUUUUGACAGACAGAGAUAGAGUUAAGGGACCAAAUCAAAACUUUUAUUAAAUAAGGGACCAAGAUGAAACUUGAAAAUUAAUUAGGGGAUCAAAUAUGUAAUUAAGCCUAUUAUAUCAGUCAUUUAGCAUAUAUAAUUUAAAUAUGUAAAC